Molecule: ribosomal RNA, 480 nt
Filed under: Blastocystis sp.
Lineage: Eukaryota; Bigyra; Opalinata; Blastocystidae
Description: SSU rRNA
Rfam family: Eukaryotic small subunit ribosomal RNA
Source: RNAcentral
GGAGGUAGUGACAAUAAAUCACAAUGCGGGACUAUUCGUCUUGCAAUUGGAUUGAGAACAAUGUACAACUCUUAUCGAUAAGCCAUUGGAGGGCAAGUCUGGUGCCAGCAGCCGCGGUAAUUCCAGCUCCAAUAGCGUAUAUUAACGUUGUUGCAGUUAAAAAGCUCGUAGUUGAAGUGUGGGUGGUGCCAUCUGUGAAGCUUCGGCUUCUAAGAUGAUCACUACCCCCUUCCAGUAUCCAGUAGUGGGUAUUCAGUUACUUACUAUUGUGUGUUGGUCGUUUACUGUGAGAAAAUUAGAGUGUUCAAAGCAGGCGUUUGCUUGAAUAGAUUAGCAUGGAAUAAUAAUUGAAGGCUUUCGUGUUCGAUUUGAUUGGUUUGUUCAUGGAAGCAAGGUUAAAAGGAACAGUUGGGGGUAUUCAUAUUCACUAGUUAGAGGUGAAAUUCUCGGAUUUAUGGAAGAUGAACAAGUGCGAAAGCA